GAAGAACGCUGGCGGCAUGCCUAACACAUGCAAGUCGAACGAACAAGAGCCAAACUUCGGUUUGGAGUUCUGUUAGUGGCAUACGGGUGAGUAACACGUAGGAAUCUACCUUAUAGUAUGGAAUAACAGUUGGAAACGACUGCUAAUACCGUAUACGCUCUUCGGAGGAAAGAUUUAUCGCUAUAAGGUGAGCCUGCGCUAGAUUAGAUAGUUGGUAGGGUAAUGGCCUACCAAGUCUAUGAUCUAUAGCUGGUCUGAGAGGACGAUCAGCCACACUGGGACUGAGACACGGCCCAG
This 297-nucleotide ribosomal RNA is filed under the name uncultured bacterium. Its description in RNAcentral is "partial 16S ribosomal RNA". It matches the Rfam family "Bacterial small subunit ribosomal RNA", at positions 28 to 334 of the family's 1533-position model. The record is from RNAcentral.